GGKUUUCAGGUGCGUCAAGAGCUUUCCCGCUCGCGACGCUACUGGGCCUACGUUUCACUACAAACCAGUUGAAGUAAUAGAAUGUGUAUGGAUGUUWAACGCAUCAAUAAUACAACUUUCAGCAACGGAUCUCUUGGCUCUCGCAUCGAUGAAGAACGCAGCGAAAUGCGAUAAGUAAUGUGAAUUGCAGAAUUCAGUGAAUCAUCGAAUCUUUGAACGCACCUUGCGCUCCUUGGUAUUCCGAGGAGCAUGCCUGUUUGAGUGUCAUGAAAUUCUCAACCUGCAGAGCUUUUGUGGUUCUGUAGGAUUGGACUUGGAGGCUGUUUGCUGGCUGCAAUCAUUUUGCAGUGGGCUCCUCUGAAAUGCAUUAGCUCGGUUCCGUGCGAAUCGGUUGUCAGUGUGAUAAUGUCUACGCUGCAGCCGUGAAGCGUUUUGGCGAGCUUCUAAUUGUCUCGUUGGAGACAACGCUUUUAUUGACCUCUGACCUCAAAUCAGGUAGG
RNAcentral lists this ribosomal RNA (500 nucleotides) under Fomes sp. 1 T193. RNAcentral describes it as "eukaryotic LSU rRNA". The record is from RNAcentral. Lineage: Eukaryota; Fungi; Basidiomycota; Agaricomycetes; Polyporales; Polyporaceae.